Molecule: ribosomal RNA, 433 nt
Filed under: uncultured bacterium
Lineage: Bacteria
Description: partial 16S ribosomal RNA
Rfam family: Bacterial small subunit ribosomal RNA
Source: RNAcentral
AGCGAACGCUGGCGGCAGGCUUAACACAUGCAAGUCGAACGCGUCCUUCGGGGUCAGUGGCAGACGGGUGAGUAACACGUGGGAACGUACCCUUUGGUUCGGAAUAACGCCGGGAAACUAGCGCUAAUACCGGAUACGCCCUUUUGGGGAAAGGCUUGCUGCCGAAGGAUCGGCCCGCGUCUGAUUAGCUAGUUGGUGGGGUAAUGGCCUACCAAGGCGACGAUCAGUAGCUGGUCUGAGAGGAUGAUCAGCCACACUGGGACUGAGACACGGCCCAGACUCCUACGGGAGGCAGCAGUGGGGAAUAUUGGACAAUGGGCGCAAGCCUGAUCCAGCCAUGCCGCGUGAGUGAUGAAGGCCUUAGGGUUGUAAAGCUCUUUUGUCCGGGACGAUAAUGACGGUACCGGAAGAAUAAGCCCCGGCUAACUUCGUG